AACCCCCGGCAGUGGGCAAAGAGAUAUCUUGUUGGUGAUGCUUUUCUUAUUUUAGUCAAGGGCAGAGCAGAUGGCAGUCUUUUGUUUAUCCUUGCUUGGUGCCUGGCUUGGUGGUCAAAGCUAUCUUAAACCUAGGACUCAUAA
This is a small nucleolar RNA of Mastomys coucha (southern multimammate mouse), 144 nucleotides long. RefSeq annotates it as small nucleolar RNA SNORA48. NCBI's taxonomy places the organism in Eukaryota, Metazoa, Chordata, Mammalia, Rodentia, Muridae. The record is from RefSeq and is a predicted model, not a curated record. The transcript has a single exon.